UAAUGACCAUUAGUUGUUAGGAGCAGGUGU
This 30-nucleotide non-coding RNA is filed under the name Mus musculus (house mouse). Lineage: Eukaryota; Metazoa; Chordata; Mammalia; Rodentia; Muridae. The record is from RNAcentral.